GACGAACGCUGGCGGCGUGCUUAACACAUGCAAGUCGAACGGAAAGGCCCUGCUUUUGUGGGGUGCUCGAGUGGCGAACGGGUGAGUAACACGUGAGUAACCUGCCCUUGACUUUGGGAUAACUUCAGGAAACUGGGGCUAAUACCGGAUAGGAGCUCCUGCUGCAUGGUGGGGGUUGGAAAGUUUCGGCGGUUGGGGAUGGACUCGCGGCUUAUCAGCUUGUUGGUGGGGUAGUGGCUUACCAAGGCUUUGAUGGGUAGCCGGCCUGAGGGGGUGACCGGCCACAUUGGGACUGAGAUACGGCCCAGACUCCUACGGGAGGCAGCAGUGGGGAAUAUUGCACAAUGGGCGGAAGCCUGAGGCAGCAACGCCGCGUGCGGGAUGACGGCCUUCGGGUUGUAAACCGCUUUCGCCUGUGACGAAGCGUGAGUGACGGUAAUGGGUAAAGAAGCACCGGCUAACUACGUG
This 468-nucleotide ribosomal RNA is filed under the name uncultured bacterium. RNAcentral's name for it is "partial 16S ribosomal RNA". It matches the Rfam family "Bacterial small subunit ribosomal RNA", at positions 28 to 507 of the family's 1533-position model. The record is from RNAcentral.